CCCUUAGAUGUUCUGGGCCGCACGCGCGCUACAAUGAUGCAGGCAACGAGUGCCGCUCCUUAGCCGAAAGGCUUGGGGAAUCUUGAAAACUGCAUCGUGCUAGGGAUAGAUGAUUGCAAUCGUGCAUCUUGAACGAGGAAUGCCUUGUAAGCGUGAGUCAUCAACUCGCGCUGAAUACGUCCCUGCCCUUUGUACACACCGCCCGUCGCUCCUACCGAUUGGAUGGUCCGGUGAACUGGUCGGACUGAUGUUUGAAAUUGCGGGUGCAGUUGAUUCACGGGAAGUCUAGUAAACCUUAUCAUCUAGAGGAAGGAGAAGUCGUAACA
Molecule: ribosomal RNA, 326 nt
Filed under: uncultured eukaryote
Lineage: Eukaryota
Description: partial 18S ribosomal RNA
Rfam family: Eukaryotic small subunit ribosomal RNA
Source: RNAcentral